AUUUUUUUUCUUCUCCGCUUUAUCUCAAAAAAGAGAGAAACCAUCUCUUUCUUCCUAUGUAACCAUCGACUUUUCACUUUCUGCAAUCUCUAUCUCUUUCUUGCUAACAUCACUUCAUCCUCAAUAUCUCUCACUUCCACAAUCGGCCCUCUUUCCGUCCCACUCCUUACGGCAGCAUAUAAUGGACAACCGAUCUAACCGAUCUAAUAACGAAGUUCAGUUGUCCACCAUGUACCCUGUCUGACCUGCCUUACCCCUCCGUAGGCGACCAACACGGCGGUCUAGUUCUGGAGACCUUCCACCGGAGCUUGUAGAUGCAAAACCCACGAGGUAGCCACAAGUAAGACAAGAUUGAAGUCUCUCCAACCGGACACCCUCUACAGUUUCUGGAGAUACUCAGCAGACCCAAAUAUGUUAAUGUUGUAACCAAACAACAGAAUGCUUUGUGGCACAUCUCCCUUAGGCUCUGAUUCUUCAGUUUGUUGUGUCAAUUGUGGUGCUUUUACCCAUUCUUUCCAACGUGCUUACUUGCAACUAUGAGAACAACACGGUGAAGAAGGGUCGCUUGCUGGACGGAAAUCAAAGACCACUGCAGGCACUGAAGAACAAGUUCAGUCAGUCAUUAAUGCAAAUUUGAUUCCAACCUUGGUCAAUCUGGCUCAAAGUGCUGAAAUUAUGACAUGAAGAAAGAAGCUGCAUGGGCGAUUUCCUCUAAUGCGACCUUACGUGCUUCUCAUGAUCACAUCAAGUACGUGUCUGUCUUUUUUCUUUUCUUUUUCCACUUCUUAACAUGCUUAAUUAUAUAGAUGGUCAAGUCACAAUUGAUACCCAUUGGUGUAAUACAGAUACAUGGUGGAGCAGAGCUGCAUAAAACCUUUAUGUGAUACUCUGUCCAGAUAUAAGAACCAUCGUAAAGUGUCUGGAUGGUUUGGAAAACAUUUUGAAAGGCCGGAGCGGCUGCAGGAGACGUGAACUGAUUGAAAAUGCGGAAGGGCAAGACAAUAUUCUGCAACACCACGUAAGCAAUGAGAUCUACCAGAAGGCUUUGAAGAUUCUAGAGACGGCUUGAAGAAGAUGAUGAGGAGACACAACAAUAAUAACCACCAAGGUGAUAGAUCUAGGCUUUUCGUUAUACAAAUGCCAAUAUGUUCCACCAAAAAGAAUUAUGGAAGAAUUGGUUUCUGAUGAGUUGGUGGUGCUGAAUUGAAUCUCCUUUAAUCCCCAAACACUACU
Molecule: long non-coding RNA, 1233 nt
Organism: Camelina sativa (false flax)
Lineage: Eukaryota; Viridiplantae; Streptophyta; Magnoliopsida; Brassicales; Brassicaceae
Source: RefSeq, a predicted model, not a curated record